UUUUCCUUUUUUUGUUGCCGAAGGUCUCCACUCUCCAGAACGACUGACCGUCGCCAGUCAUUCUUCCGGACUGCCACUUUUUCGAAAGUUUUCCGGCCGUUGGAUUCUGGUUUCUCUUUGCUCUUCCUUCCUAACGUAUGACGUCGUUUAUUUUUUAACUAUUAUUUGGAAUUUUGUAAUCAAGUUAUUUCAUUAUUUAUAUUUUUUACUAACAUUAUUUAUAAUUUGACUAAUUAAUAAAUAAAAAAUUAAUAUAGCACCUGAAUUUUAAUGAAAUUAAAUAGAUAAUUUAUAAUUUUUUAAAUCAAUUAAAACAUUUUUUAUUAUCUUAAAAUAUAAUUAUUUGAUCUUUCAAUUAAUACUAGCUUCAUUCUACAAUAUCUAUCAUUUAAAUUUUAUUCACUUAAGCUAAUAAAGUUUAAUAAAUAAUAUUAACUUUUAAAAAUUUAUAAUAAUUUAUUUAAAAUACCUUUUAAAUUAAUUUUUUUAUACAUUGAUAUUAAAUAAUUUAAAAACCAGUAAAAACACAUACAAAAGAUAAAAAUUAAUAUUAGUUUAUACAGGUAGGACGAUUUGUAUAGUUUAAAUUAAUAAAAAAUUCUCAUUUUAAUUUAACUAUUUUUUAUUAAAAAAUAAUUUAGUAUUUAAAAUAUUAAUCUCCCAGUAGAAUAGUAUAGUUAAAAAAAUAUUUAUCGUAUUUGUAUUGAGAGAAAGAAAUGUCUCUCUUUUUAUUACAUUUAUUUUCUGCCAUUUUUUACAUGCCUUUUAUAUGCUCAUUUUGCUUUUCUAGACUUAAGGAGUCUCCUUCAAGCCUGAAAAAUAAGUGUGGGUUAUUUAAAGAAUCUAACCCACAUGUGUGUUUUAGUUAUUGUUUUGUAGACUUUUCUAACCGAUCAAUUUUUAUUUGAACUGAUUUUAUAUGGACAAAUAGUGUAAAUAAAAAUAGUGUACUGAUGUGGAUUGUAGCUUUGUUGUCAAAAAAUAACAGAAUUGGAGUUUGAAUUGAAAUAUUCAAAUAGAUAGGAGAGCCAUUUCAAUUUACAAACAACAUACGCCAUGCUUUUGUACUCUGUUUCUACAGUAGACCUGCUUGCUAUAGUUUACUUUUUUUAUUUCUAAGAGAUGAGGGAUUUGCUAAGAAAUACAUAAAACCCUGUAAUGGAACAUCUGGAAUCAGUACAGGAUGCCUAGUCUACAACUGCAUAUGCAGUAAGUUCAAAAGAGUUCUAAGCUGGGAAAAAAGCCUUCAGAUGGAUAAGUUUUUAGGUACUUGAGGACAUGGAUAGCAACAUCCUAGUGAAUAUCAGGUGGAGCCUUUAUAUACUGACUUAAUUUUUGCACAACAAAGGAUAAUUAGGUCUUAAGAGAUUGAGAUACAAAAGUAUGCUAAUGGGUCUUCAAUACCUUUCUGGUUUUUGUAGCAAAUGACUACAAUUAUUAGAAAGUUUGAGCCCUUUAGGUAAGGGAACAUGAGCAAGUUUGGCAGAUGUGAGACCAACAUCUUUAAUGAUGUCAUUGAUGUAUUUCUGUUGAUUCAUGACUCGCGGUUGUCGAGACCGGUCAAAAAUAACCUUUCUGAUUAUCAACAAUAUUACAACUGCAGAUAGUGGUGAAAGAAUCGAAUCCAAGGGGGGUUUGGAGAUUGAUUCAGUUAAUCUAAUAAAGAAAAUAAUAAAAUAAAGCAAGUAAUUAAAAGAAAGAAAAUCAAAUAUGAGAAAUGUCUAGUUGAAGAAUUGGAUCCAUAUUUCAGUUGUUGGGAUUGAUCAUUGAUACUUAGGUUCUUUUGUUUGAUUCAAUAAAUUAGUUAUGGAGAUGGAAGACGUUUCUCACCACCAUGUCUCUCCUUAAUCGUAAAUUAAUUAGGGAACGUCCUCUAACCAAUUACUAAUCAACAAGUUGCCAAGGAACGUCUUUGGAUCUUAAGUAUCAAAACAACUGUCAAUUGCGUUAAGAAAUAGAGAGAUCUAAUUCUAACUACCCAAACGCAUGGAGAUAUCGCUAAAUCAUGCAAUUUCCUUAGUUUUUACACCAAGUGUCCUUGUGUUUGAACAAUCCAAGCAAUUACGGACUUAAAACUAUUCAAGCUAACAAUAUAUCACCUUGCAAUCAAGAAUCAAUUGGCCACAUUGAUCAAAAUAACAAAGCAAUAAUGGAAUCAAGCAUGAAAUUGCACAAAUAUUGAAUAAACCAAAGUUAAAAAAUGUAUGUUCAGAUCUCCCAAUCCAUAAAACAACUAAAGUUUCAACCAAUCUUCAACUAGAAAUAAAGGUUUCAGCCACUCAUGGCUGAAACAAAACCAAAAAAUAAAGAAAAGAAGAAGAAGAGAAGGAGGCCGAAGCCUUGUGAUGGAGAGAGUAGGCGGCGAUUGUGUAACGACCCGAAAAUUGAACCGCUACCGGCGCUAGGAUCCAGAUCGGCUUAAGGCUGCCGGGACCCGUAGCAAGCCUAACAUACCUCCUGUACACCUGUUAAAUCCCAUACAUGAUCAAAUAUAUACAUAAAAACUUUAAACUUUUCUUUCAUUUACCAAGCUUAACCUGUGCAUGCACAUAACCAUAAACAUAAAACCCCACACUGGAGCCUUCAUCAAAUGCUCCAAUGGGGUAACAUAUCAUACAUUAAGCUUGGUUUACAUAAAACGUUACAUAGAUCAUGUAUACAAAAGGGAUUAAUCAUACAUACUAGGGUCAAGCACAAUUAUAAUCCUCAAUAUCAUCAUUACAUUACAUGACUGUUCAACACUUUACAUUACAACAUUUUCAUGUCCACAUCUAACUAUUACAUAAACAUGACUUUACUCUUGCUGACAUCCUGGUCUAUCCCGUACCUGCACACCUGGGGGUUAAGGGAAUGGGGUGAGCUAAAAAGCCCAGUGAGCAGAACCAUAAAACAUUAUCAUAAGUCAUGCUUUCAUGUAAUGCAUCACAACACAUACAAUUCACAUCACGGAUGGACUUGUCACCAAUAACCCUCUAAUUCCAAUGUGCCCGGCCCUUGACGGAGCUCCGCGGGACUUCCUCUUAAUCAUCACUGAUCAAGCAUAAUUUAGCCACAUUUUUAUCAUAAUUAUUAUUGCUUAUUUACACAUUUUUUAGUUUAAUUUAUGGUUUUUAUCUUGUUUUUACAGAAAAGGAAGAAAUUGGAAAAUUGGAGAAAAAGUGCAGAAAAUUUACAAAAAGGUGAUCUGCCCAGUGAUUUGCCCAAAAAUCUGCUCCAAUCACUGCUCUGAUCAAGCUAAGGCAGAAACCCGGAGGCAACAGAUAGCAGUGAUAUGGGCAGUGAUUUGCCCAAGAAACUCGAAGAUCACUGGUCAAAUCACUCGCAGAGACACAGAGGACUGACUCACAGAGAAGCGAUCUGGUCAGUGAUUUGCCCAAUCACUUGAAGAAACUGGUCAAAGCACCGGGCAAAUCACUUUGACAGCAGAAAAUUGCAGCAGAGCGGGAAAAUUGCAGCAGAGCGGGAAAAUUGGCAGCAAACAGAAAUCUGAAUUUUCAGAAGUCCAAAUCCAAUCCAAUCACUUCCAACACAAAUCCAAGAGCCACGAAAGAGCUUCUCAUCCAAGGAAAUCCAAUUGCAAUUAAAUUCAACAUCAAAAGAGGAGUCCAACACCAAAUCAAAAAGGGAUUUCAAAACCCUAGAUGAGAGAAUUCUUCAGCUAUAAAAGGAGGACUUCCAAACCAGAAAAUCAUCUUCUGAUCAGGAACUCAGCACCUUCUCCCUCGCCAGAAACUCUUCAGCUGUUCUUUCUUUUCUUUUUCUUUUCAUCUUUUUGUGUAUUUAGUCCACUAUGAGUGGCUAAACUCCUUAUUUUCUAGUUGAAGUUGAGAAUAUUCAGAUUUGUUAUGAAUUGGGAGGUUUAAUACUCCAUUGUUGAACUCUUAUUUGUUUCAAUAUUUAUGCAAUCUGAUCUUUUCUACAAGUAUUACUUUGCUUUUAGAAUCAAUAAGGGCCCAUUGCUUUUAAAUUGCUUGAGUAAUAUUGUUUGAAUGGUUUAGGUCCGUAAUUGCUUGGAUUGUUCAAAUACACAUUCAAUCAGGUUGCAUAAUCUAAACUUGACCACGCGGUUGGCAAGGAUAGAAUUGGGUUUCUCUAAGUCUUAAUGCAAUCAACAGUUGUUCGAUGCUACAAUGCCCCAAGGACGUUCCUUGGCAACUUGUUGAUUAGUGUUUGAUUAGCGAACGUUUCCUAAUCAAACUAGAACUAAGGAGGAAUUUGGAUUGUGAGAAGCGUCUUCCACAACCAAAACUAAUUUAUUGAAAUCAAAAAGGAGUCUUCAAAUAAUCAAUGAUCAAUUCUGAACAAACUGAAUUAGACUCAUACUUCAACUAGAAGCCUUUCUCUUAUUGAUUUAUUCAUCUUUAAAUUACUGCUUUCUUUUACUAUUUAGUGUUAAUCCAUCAACUCAAAACCCCCCCUCUUUUAUUUACUUGUUAUUUACUUUACCUUGGUCAUUAUUAGGAAGGUCUUUAGUGUCAAUUCCAUGUGGUUCGACCCUAUUGCCACUAUCUGCAAAUUUAUUU
This 4523-nucleotide long non-coding RNA is filed under the name Manihot esculenta (cassava). RNAcentral describes it as "long non-coding RNA (MESC_LNC006849)". The record is from RNAcentral. Lineage: Eukaryota; Viridiplantae; Streptophyta; Magnoliopsida; Malpighiales; Euphorbiaceae.